RNAcentral lists this ribosomal RNA (336 nucleotides) under uncultured bacterium. RNAcentral's name for it is "partial 16S ribosomal RNA". It matches the Rfam family "Bacterial small subunit ribosomal RNA", at positions 338 to 685 of the family's 1533-position model. The record is from RNAcentral.
CCUACGGGGGGCAGCAGUCGAGAAUCAUUCACAAUGGGGGAAACCCUGAUGGUGCGACGCCGCGUGGGGGAAUGAAGGUCUUCGGAUGGUAAACCCCUGUCAUGUGGGAGAAAAUUAAAAAGAUAGUACCACAAGAGGAAGAGACGGCUGACUCUGUGCCAGCAGCCGCGGUAAUACAGGGGUCUCAAGCGUUGUUCGGAAUCACUGGGCGUAAAGCUUGCGUAGGCGGUUUCGUAGGUCGUGUGGGAACGGCGCGGGCCCAACCCGCGGACGGCACAUGAUACUGGGAGACUGGAGUAGUGGAGGGCGAACCGGAAUUCUGGGUGUAGCGGUGAA